RNAcentral lists this long non-coding RNA (2501 nucleotides) under Sus scrofa (pig). RNAcentral's name for it is "lncRNA (ENSSSCG00000060666.1)". Lineage: Eukaryota; Metazoa; Chordata; Mammalia; Artiodactyla; Suidae. The record is from RNAcentral.
GAGAAUAAAGGGCAACAUGACAUUAGCUGAAGGUAAAAACAAAGGCCAGUGUGGUGAAAACAGGACAUUCACUUCUAAUGGCUGUACUGUCACUCAGGGCGUAUCUGGUGGUGGAGAAACCUGGCCACUUGUUUGGGGAGAGGUGUGGUUGCGGUGAGUCACUAUGCCGGAAAAAUAGCACAAUGAAGCCAGGUGCUUCUGUUACAGGCUGCCCGGCAUCUUAAGGCUUAAAGUCCAAAGUCUAGUGUCUUAUUUGGGGAGUGUAUGGAUGCUAAAAGCUCCUGAGUACGGAUGGAGAGAGCAACUUGUUUUUUCAAGACCUAGGAAAGGCGACUUCCACGUCUCAUGGGAGCUUGUCCACAUUUCCCUGAGAAGAGUUAUUCUCCCUCUGUUGUGGUUGUGUUAGCACUUUGCCCCCUUCACCUGAUACCCACCUGUUAAGAAAUACCACCUUCCUUAACGAAAACCCAGAAGCUCUACUGUUGGCCCUGGAAGGAUGUCCCAUGGGGGUCUUGACUGAUUACUGCUGCCACCAAGAUAGGCUGAAAAGGCAGCUGGGAAAGGCCAGCUGUGAGAAACUGAUGUGGAAGUCUAGAGAAUAACAGAAUCUAAUGGCCCUAGAUUUUGCUGCUUCUAUACGCUUAAUGUGCUUAAGAUCAUCUCACAGGAUUGGACCUGCGGAUGGGGUAGAAUGUGGCCUGUGUUUCUGAUUUAGGUAGCCCUGGGACCCCACUUUGAGAAGCUCAGCCCUGGAGAGAUCCUCGGCUUUAAGAGGCACACUUGGCCAUCCAAGCUCUCGCGCCCACACCAUCUGAUGCCAGAAAGAAGUGCUCUUACCUGGAUUCCUUCUUCUCAGCUCUCAGCCGACUGGCACUGAGGGAUGCUGUAAUUGAUAUGCUCUUCCCCACAGAACACCAGACGAUGGCACAAGGGCCUGAAGCCUCUCUCGAAUCUACCCAAGGUGUGCCCUUCGGCUUCUGUAUCUUCUCUGAGGGCCGGUGCCCCUCCGGCAUAGGGCUCACCAUUUCAGUCAACAGAGAGACCCCCCCAGAACCUCCUGCACCUCUCAGUUCACGGCUCCUUGUUGGAGGUCUUUCCCUUCUAUAGACAGAGAGCCUAGAACUGAAGAAAUCCUGACCAAACUCUAGAAGCACCUUGCUGUGGGUAACUUGGUUUGCAGUCAGACCUCGGCCCAGGCCCGCCGUCCUCCUGCGCACUGGCUGCAGAACUGCCUUAGUACCACGGCCCCACCUGGAAGUCGGCGCAGCUGUUCGGAGUAGUGUCCAGUACCAGCUGAUGAUGCUUUUAAAAGACUGAAUCGGGAUACUUCUUUUUUUUUCUUUGUCUUUUUAGGGUCACACCCACAGCAUACGGAGGUUCCCAGGCUAGGGGUCUAAUCAGAGCUACAGUCACCAGCCAGAGCCACAGCAAUGUGGGAUCCGAGCCGAGUCUGCAACCUAUACCACAGCUCAUGGCAAAGCCAGAUCCUUAACCCAUUGAGCGAGGCCAGGGAUCGAACCUGCAUCAUCAUGGAUGCUAGUCAGAUUUGUUCCUGCUGAGCCACGACGGGAACUCCCAUAAAUAAUUACUCUUAACCAGCAGACAGAGCAUUGCUAAUAACGUCCCUCUAUGAACCAUAAUAUGAUUUUUAUGUUGAUUUGAGGUUGUCGUUUGGCUACUUGCCACCAAAUACUAAAAAUGCUUCAGAGACUGCUGUCCAUCUCCCCUUCUCAGACAUUAGCAAAUGUGCCCCCAACUCCUCAAGGAGCCCCCUAGGGGCUCUGAGGACCCUGGAGAACUGAGUGAUCUCCUACAGCAAAUUCCACUCUGGAGACUUGCUAAACAAGAAAGUCUUCCAAACUGGGCUGGAGCAGAGUAAACCUGAACAGCAGUACGAUGACAGCACAGCUCCUAUUCCUCAGCAUAGAAGGGUACCUGUGCAUGUUUUCUAGACUGUCCAUUCACCUCUGUCGACCUCAUCUCUCAGCACACUAGUGUUGCCUUUGAAACAAAAAUGAUGGCCCUUCUCCCAACCAAUUAAAUCUGACUCCCGGGGAUGGGCUCUGGCAUAGGUAGCCUGUAAAGCUCUCAGGUGAUUCCGAUGUGCAGCCAGGCCUGAGAGACACUGCUCUGGCAUGAGGCGCUUGGCUCCCGGUAAAAUGCAUCUUCUUUGCUUGCCCUACCAGCACUUAAGGCCAAUCUUGGACAUUUAUACCCCAGAGCAAAUAAUUUCAGAAAAGGAGACUUGACAAGAGAGAGAGGAGAAAAAGAGAGCGACACAGUGUGAGGGCUGCAGGUUUGACAAUACACAUAAGCCUCCCAGUUUUUCCCACCUUUUGACCAUUUAGCUCUUCUUGGUGUAGGGUGGGGAAGGGCAGGGAAGGACUGUGACCUUCUGGGGAUGAAGGGAGCCUCUGACCCACAGGUGGCAGUUGAACUCUGGGCUGCAUCUGACAUUUUGCUUGGCCUGCAGAGUGGCUACACGUGGCAAUUAAAAAAAA